UGGGGAAUAUUGGACAAUGGGCGAAAGCCUGAUCCAGCCAUGCCGCGUGUGUGAAGAAGGUCUUCGGAUUGUAAAGCACUUUAAGUUGGGAGGAAGGGCAGUAAGCGAAUACCUUGCUGUUUUGACGUUACCGACAGAAUAAGCACCGGCUAACUCUGUGCCAGCAGCCGCGGUACUACAGAGGGUGCAAGCGUUAAUCGGAAUUACUGGGCGUAAAGCGCGCGUAGGUGGUUCGUUAAGUUGAAUGUGAAAGCCCCGGGCUCAACCUGGGAACUGCAUCCAAAACUGGCGAGCUAGAGUAGGGCAGAGGGUGGUGGAAUUUCCUGUGUAGCGGUGAAAUGCGUAGAUAUAGGAAGGAACACCAGUGGCGAAGGCGACCACCUGGGCUCAUACUGACACUGAGGUGCGAAAGCGUGGGGAGCAAACAGG
This 429-nucleotide ribosomal RNA is filed under the name Pseudomonadota bacterium. Its description in RNAcentral is "Proteobacteria bacterium partial 16S ribosomal RNA". It matches the Rfam family "Bacterial small subunit ribosomal RNA", at positions 355 to 776 of the family's 1533-position model. The record is from RNAcentral. Lineage: Bacteria; Pseudomonadati; Pseudomonadota.